UCAUAGACUAUUUAAACAUUAGUAUGAAAUAGUUAAACAGUAGUAUGAUUAUUAGUGAGCAUGACAUAAGGAUGUAGGACCUAUGAAUAUUCUUAGGUAAAGGAGAGUCAUGCGUAUUGGUUGCAAAAAUAAAAAUGUAUUUACAGAUUUUUGACUCUAGUAAUGAGUUAGGAAUGUGGUGAUACAUUUAUGUUAUUCUUUUUUAUUUGGUUUAGUGUUGAGGCUAAUUUGCAUAAUUAUUUUCAUGAUCUCAUGUUUUAAAUUAGAGUUAUUUAGUUUAGUUUCUUUAAGUUUCCAUAUGGGUAACAGCUACUU
RNAcentral lists this long non-coding RNA (315 nucleotides) under Bos taurus (domestic cattle). RNAcentral's name for it is "long non-coding RNA NONBTAT022276". Lineage: Eukaryota; Metazoa; Chordata; Mammalia; Artiodactyla; Bovidae. The record is from RNAcentral.